Molecule: ribosomal RNA, 692 nt
Filed under: uncultured bacterium
Lineage: Bacteria
Description: bacterial SSU rRNA
Rfam family: Bacterial small subunit ribosomal RNA
Source: RNAcentral
AGAGGUUUGAUCCUGGCUCAGAUUGAACGCUGGCGGCAUGCCUUACACAUGCAAGUCGAACGGCAGCGGGGACUUCGGUCCGCCGGCGAGUGGCGAACGGGUGAGUAAUAUAUCGGAACGUACCUUUCAGUGGGGGAUAACGUAGCGAAAGUUACGCUAAUACCGCAUAUUCUGUGAGCAGGAAAGCAGGGGAUCGCAAGACCUUGCGCUGAUUGAGCGGCCGAUAUCAGAUUAGCUAGUUGGUGAGGUAAAGGCUCACCAAGGCGACGAUCUGUAGCGGGUCUGAGAGGAUGAUCCGCCACACUGGAACUGAGACACGGUCCAGACUCCUACGGGAGGCAGCAGUGGGGAAUUUUGGACAAUGGGGGCAACCCUGAUCCAGCCAUGCCGCGUGAGUGAAGAAGGCCUUCGGGUUGUAAAGCUCUUUCGGCCGGGAAGAAAUCGCACGGGCUAAUACCCUGUGUGGAUGACGGUACCGGAAUAAGAAGCACCGGCUAACUACGUGCCAGCAGCCGCGGUAAUACGUAGGGUGCGAGCGUUAAUCGGAAUUACUGGGCGUAAAGCGUGCGCAGGCGGUUUAGUAAGACAGGCGUGAAAUCCCCGGGCUCAACCUGGGAACUGCGCUUGUGACUGCUAAGCUAGAGUACGGCAGAGGGGGGUGGAAUUCCACGUGUAGCGGUGAAAUGCGUAGA